Molecule: long non-coding RNA, 4816 nt
Filed under: Sus scrofa (pig)
Lineage: Eukaryota; Metazoa; Chordata; Mammalia; Artiodactyla; Suidae
Description: lncRNA (ENSSSCG00035075021.1, ENSSSCG00065064654.1)
Source: RNAcentral
AGAGAGAGGCAGAGAGAGACAGCAGGGAUGUGGUGAAAAAUCAUGUGGGAGAUGCUGAAAGCAAUGAUACUCUAUUAUAUCAUUAGGCUACAAACCAAAAUAAAAAGGAAAUGAGGUGCACAACUGGAGGCUAGCAGAUGUUGCCCAUUGAUUAGUCUUCUUUUUUAUACUAAAUCCUGUGAUUCAAAUUAAAGAAGACAUGGAGAAUCCAGUGUUGAAACUUCAGCAAUAAGACAAAUCGCUUUGGAUGUGUCACCACUUAUUCUGCAUGUAUUCCAUCUGUAGAAGAGAAACAAGCCUCCAUCUAGAUAAGAACCUACAGAACUAGUUUUAUGUCUGAGAGUAGUGCUUCCAUUUGGGAAUACCUUCCAGUGUUUUUUUCCUCAAAACAUAUAUUUCUGAAUCUCAACUCUUUAGGAAAAUAAGUCCAAAAACUGUAAAAACAGCCAAAAGUUAUACACUAUUCAGAUGCAAACAUAGAGACAUUAAUGCUUUGAAGGAAUCUGGGAAUUGCUUUCUUUUCUAAAAAGAAAGUCCCAGUGCCCUACCCCCUUCUUAUUCCAAAAAUGAUGUACAUAUAUCUCAUUUUGCUUGUCUUUAGAAUCUUCCAUAUAGAUUCCCCCCACAUUUUAAUUAAAUUUGACUUUCUUCUGUUAACAUAUAUCAUUUGAAUUUAAUCCUUAUACUAGCCAGAAGAAUCUAGAAUGGUAGAGGAUUUCGUUUCCUUUCUUGAGACUUCUUAUCCUUACUUUGCAAAGAAAGGGAAGAAUACAAAGCAAAUGACCAUAUAUUUCCUUUCUAAUAAAGUUAGAAUUGGAGGGAGGUCACCAAAGUGUUUAAUAGCCCAGACAGUCUUGAGUUGGAAUCCUGCGUCUAUACUUGCUCAUUAUAUAAUUUUGCAAAAUUAAUAAUGCUCUGGAAUCCUUAAUUUAUUCUUGUGUGAAUGGUGAUACUGAGAAUGAGAGUUCUACGAGAAUGCUGUAGAUUAGGUAUAGAUAAGAUAAAGUGCAAAGUGUCAUACUAUACAUUGCCUACAGAAAGGGUUUAAAGAGUAUUAACAAAAAUUACCAUAAACAAUUAUAAUGCAAUGUAUAAUGCAAAGUGAUGACUCUAGAAGAGAUGUAUAGAUACUGUUCUGGAAACUCAGAACCAGGAACAAUUAAUUUUGCCUGGAGGAUUUAGCAAGACCUUUACUAAGUAGAGGGACUGGAUCACAAAAAGAGAUAGGAAUUCAUCAAUUAGGACGAGUGCCAAGUCAGAGAAAAACACCCAUUCCGGCAAGAGAUAUAGCCUCUGAAUCUUGGCACUGAGCUUGUUAGACAAUCAGAACUUAUUUAUUGAAUUAAAUUGAAUUCCAGGAAUUCAAAAGAAUUAGGUGUACUCAAAAACGUGAAUUUUUCAGUAUGAAUAGAGAACGUAAUCUUCAAGAAAGUGGUAGAAGGAGGCAGAAAGAUUUUUAAGGGAAUCUGAUCCUUACUUUAUACUAGAGACCUGUACUAUAAAAAUUUGUAUUCUCCUCAAAGUGCAUAUAUCUAUCACCAACCAAAGAAUGGCCAAAAUAAAUACUUUUAAGAAAAUUCUUUAGGAAACUAUGCGAGGAUUUUGAGUUGAAUGAAAAUAUGAUCAGAUUUUUUAGUUUUAAAGAAAAACAUUGUUUCAUGACACCUGCAUCUUGGGGAUGCCUAAAAGAUACAUAAUUUUACCUUUCACUAAUUUAAAUUUCUGCCUAAAAUAUUACUUUGUAAUAGGCAAAGAAAUAUCUAAUGGCCUUUUCAAUACAGUAUGCAAAGUUGAACAACUCGUGUUGAAAGAUUUUGAAUCAUAUUUACACCUAUAUAGCUCUGUUUUUGGAUCUAACUUAUUGAUCUAAAAGUCUCUUCUCACAUUGGUUUUGUAAAAAUAAAUAAAGACCACUCAAAUGAGAACAAACAGAGGCUAUUUAUUCAGGGCUGGCUGUAACAAGAGUCAUCCAGCGUCAUCACUUGCAUUUGAUAAAGGCUCAUAAGCAGAUAGGAGAAUAUGACAGCUUUAUAGCGAAAAAAGGGGAAAGUUGCGAGUAUGCUUUGAUUAGAAGUUCGUGGUAUGAAGAAGCUGGAGGUGGGCAGCAGGACAUCUUAGUGGUUGAAUUGGUAAACAUAUUAAACUUUUUUGAUUGGUACUGCCUUAAAAACCAGGGGGGGGGAGAAAAAAUGGGGAUCAUUGACCCAGUCCCAAUGUUUUUGGGGUGCUUGUUGUGAUUGUAGUUUGGAUUCUCUGACUGGUUGAUGCAGAAGUUCUGGGUCAAAAUUCUACUGAUACAUACAAUCUGGCCACUGUUCAUUUGUAUAUUUAUUAUCUCAUUUGUAACCCCUUCCAUGAAUGCUAAGCACUUUGGAUUCAUCAAAAUUUCCAACACUCCAGGAAAUUUAAAUGCUUUAUUUAUGCUAAAAUUACAUAUGUAUAUACUGAUAUUGAAAUCCAAAACAAAUUAUGAUUAAAUAAUUUAAAAAACUGCUUUCACUCACUGAACUGGAUGGUUGAUGCAUGUUUUAUCUCCUGAGUUUCUGGCAUCUCUCAAUGCAUAUAAAAUAUAUAAAAAUAUGUAAAAUAUUUUAAAAUACAGGCGCAUUCAUAUUUAUCAUCAUAUAGUUUAAUGUCACAAAAUCUGUUUGUUCAGUAAAAGCUGUCUUUGUGCAUUAUCAAUAGACUCAUUAAAUCAACCUCAACUGAAUGCUUUAUUUUUUCCUGUGCUCUUAAAAAAGAAUAAUAAAAGAGGUAAUCAAGUUCUAAACAAUAUUAAACUUUUUUUUAACUAUCUUAAUUUUGUUUUCAAUCAUGCAAAGAGACUUGCAAGCCAAGGAAAAUGGAGAUGUACUCCAGACACCAGUAACAGUGUCUUCAGAAUUUCAAAUAGGGGUCAUAUCCCCUAGUAUCUGUUGCAGCAGACUGAAUUAAAAGUAAUGGUGACCUUAGGUCCCAUUUAACAUGCGAAAGAAAUUGAGCCUUAACUUCUAUCUUUGCCAAUGACUGUUUGUAAAUGUGUACAAAUUGCCUAGUCUCACUGAAUCCCAGUUAUGUACCAGUAAAUGGGAAUAAUACAAUUGUUAAGAUUUAAAGAGAUACACUAUGUGGGCUUUAUAUUCAAGAGCUGACACCUAGUGCUGCAUUCUUCACCACUGGCAAUAUAGGUAUAAAAACAGCUGCUUUCAUGAUUUAUGGGUAACAAUACAAAUAAAACCAGUUAAAUAGAUAUCUAGCUAACUAACAUAAUACCCUCCAUGACAUGCUUUUUAUAUAUGCAUGAACACUAACAAUAUGGAACAAGGGUAUAGAGGACCAAGGACUAACAGGGAAGUCAAGUGCUGUUUUUGCUAUCAUGCUAUAGGAACCGUUCACCAAAUUACCUCACCAUUCAAUAUCCAAAGCUCAGUCCUUUGAACUUCUGUCUAUCUGUCCUCCAUCCUCUUCCCCUUCCCUCAUACAUUUUGAUUCCUUGAAUUUCUACUCUAGGGAUAGCAAAAUUUUCCUACUUAAAAUGCAGAAUAAUGUAUUUUUAUAAAGCUCUUAUUCCUACUUGAAGCUCCAGGCCCACACUGCAGAUCCAACCACAGAGAGGAAUUCAGCUAAAUAAAACAACAGCAAAUCUAUGGUUCUUCAGUUGCUAACAUCCUUUCAUUUAAGAGCAGUUGUCAUUUAGAGAAGACAGUUAUAUUUUCUAAAUUCCAUCUCAGUUAACAGUAUCCAAGAUAUGGAAAAAAACACCAGCAAUAUUUUGGCAGGCUCCAGAGGCCCUAUAAACCAAGGUCAGGCUCUAGGCUUCCCAAAGACAAGACUGUGCCAAUCUUUGGGUUUCCCUAAGAGCUAGGCACAAUAUUUAAUGAAAUAAAAAAAUAUAUAGAAUAUGCUACAUAAGGCUGUGGAUUGCUGUAGACAUUUCAGCUACUUUAUAAAAUAUAAGCUAUGUAUUUGCAAAUCACAUGUAUAUUGGGUGCUAUGAUAUAUUUUUUAAAAAUGAAUACUAGUGUACUUUGUUAAAUCUUACUGAUGCUAAUUUGCACUCUGAUGAGAAAAAAAAAUCUAUUUUCUAUAUGCUCAGGAUAUAAUUUAAUUCAUAUAAGAAUAAGAAUAAUUUAAAUUAAUAAAUUAGCAUCAUUAGUAAAUAAUAAAAUCCUAAUUUUUAGAUUACUAACCUUAAAAUAGUUUAUAAGUAUGUUUUAUUCUGUCUAUAAAAUAUUUACUCUACUAAGUAAACUCCAUAACAUGCUUAGUCAAAACAUAACCAUCUUUUCCAAGGAGCCAGUUCAACACUUUCAAUGAACCAACAAAUAUUAAUUAAAAACCUAUUAUAAUUUAGGGCCACUUUUUCCUUUUAUCUUUAACUCAAACUAUUUCUCAGAAUAUUGCUUCUAACUUUACCUUAAAACUAUAGUGUGAAUAAUAGACAACUAGAAAUUGAAAUAAAAACAUUUAAAUUAACAUAAAAACAUAAAAUGCCUAGUGAUAAAUUAACACAAAAUAUGUGCAAGAUCUGCACACUGGAAAGUACAAUUUUUAAGAGAAAUUACAGAAGACAUAAACAAAAAAGAGUUAUACCAUGUUCACAGAUCAGAAGACUAAAUCAACUCUCUCUAAAUUUAUCUAUAGAUUAAAUGUGAGUCCAAUCAAAAUAUCAGGGGAUUUUUUUCAUAGAAACUGAAAAGAUGAUUAUAAAAUGUAUAUGGAAACACAAGGUAACAAUUUGAUCCAGACAAGCUAAAACAAUUUGAAAGAGGAGAGCAAAGUUGGAGAUCUUAUACUAUUUAAUUUCGAGAUUUUCUAUAACAUCACAAUAAUCAAG